Molecule: ribosomal RNA, 346 nt
Filed under: uncultured Pseudomonas sp.
Lineage: Bacteria; Pseudomonadati; Pseudomonadota; Gammaproteobacteria; Pseudomonadales; Pseudomonadaceae
Description: bacterial SSU rRNA
Rfam family: Bacterial small subunit ribosomal RNA
Source: RNAcentral
UGCUGCAUGGCUGUCGUCAGCUCGUGUCGUGAGAUGUUGGGUUAAGUCCCGAUAGAGCGCAACCCUUGUCCUUAGUUACCAGCACGUUAUGGUGGGCACUCUAAGGAGACUGCCGGUGACAAACCGGAGGAAGGUGGGGAUGACGUCAAGGUCAUCAUGGCCCUUACGGCCUGGGCUACACACGUGCUACAAUGGUCGGUACGAAAGGGUUGCCAAGCCGCGAGGUGGAGCUAAUCCCAUAAAACCGAAUCGUAGUCCGGAUCGCAGUCUGCAACUCGACUGCGUGAAGUCGGAAUCGCUAGUAAUCGUGAAUCAGAAUGUCACGGUGAAUACGUUCCCGGGCCUU